GAUCUGAAUCGAAAUAAGCGAAAAAGAAUCGUGUAUCUUGUAUCUCACGUUGUACGUUCAUUAGUGACUCGUAAUAAGUAGUAGGUAGAUUGUGUAGAGUGGUAUUUCGGAAUAAACAAGCGGCCAAACAAGUAAGACCGUCAAACUGCCAAACCCAUCGUUCAAUAUGACCCAACCUUAUAAAACAGUGGUUACUAAUCGUUGGAUUGCUGUGGAUUAUGAUGAUGAUAAAUUAAAAUUCUAGUGAAAAAGAGUUCCGCGGGAAAUGGAGGUGGGUGUCGUCGUAAUGGUUGUUUCUCUGGUUGUACAUGAAAUUUUUCUGGAGAGGCUUCAAGCGGAAUUCUCCUCUUAUGACAAUGAAAAACCAAAAGAGAAACUUUCGAAAACUUCCCGAAUCUUGUAAACGAUUGAACAAUUCUGUUUCUACAUCAAUUACCAGGACAAUUAUCAGGUGGACUUCAUCACCGAAAAAAAGUUUCAGACAAUUGGUUUUAUAGGAGAGGGAAGGAAGUUUCUACCUAGGACGAGCCUAACGAGUAAGCGAAAUAAGAUUACGUUCGACGUUCUAAACAACUGAAUCAAACUACCAUAUACUAUAGAAUGAAAAUGCCCAAUAAAAUGCGGUUCGGACCAUUAUAAACAGUUACUUUUUGGCUCUGCACUAAAAGACAAAAUACCUCAAGGAAAUCCCACAGCAUGCAAAAUUUCAUUUAAAUCAUGCUUCUGAAUCAACAUACUAUUAACAAACACAAACAUGCGUGGAACAGGUAA
Molecule: long non-coding RNA, 771 nt
Organism: Hermetia illucens (black soldier fly)
Lineage: Eukaryota; Metazoa; Arthropoda; Insecta; Diptera; Stratiomyidae
Exons: 3
Source: RefSeq, a predicted model, not a curated record